RNAcentral lists this ribosomal RNA (411 nucleotides) under uncultured bacterium. RNAcentral describes it as "bacterial SSU rRNA". It matches the Rfam family "Bacterial small subunit ribosomal RNA", at positions 355 to 776 of the family's 1533-position model. The record is from RNAcentral.
UCGAGGAUCUUCGGCAAUGGGCGCAAGCCUGACCGAGCGACGCCGCGUGUGCGAUGAAGGCCUUCGGGUUGUAAAGCACUGUCGAGGGGGAGAAAGCCGAAAGGUUGAUCUAUCCCUGGAGGAAGCACGGGCUAAGUUCGUGCCAGCAGCCGCGGUAAGACGAACCGUGCGAACGUUGUUCGGAAUCACUGGGCUUAAAGGGCGCGUAGGCGGGCGGCCAAGUUCGGGGUGAAAUCCUCCAGCUCAACUGGAGAACGGCCUCGAAUACUGGACGUCUCGAGGGAGGUAGGGGCGUGCGGAACUAUGGGUGGAGCGGUGAAAUGCGUUGAUAUCCAUAGGAACUCCGGUGGCGAAGGCGGCACGCUGGACCUUUUCUGACGCUGAGGCGCGAAAGCCAGGGGAGCAAACGGG